UCAUCAAACCCAUGGAAUGGAGGAAGAGGUCUCGAGCUUCCCAAGAAGAUUAAGAUUGAACUGUUCAUCAAACCCAUGGAAUGGAGGAAGAGGUCUCGAGCUUCCCAAGAAGAUUAAGAUUGAACUGUUCAUCAAACCCAUGGAAUGGAG
This is a long non-coding RNA of Bombina bombina (fire-bellied toad), 150 nucleotides long. RefSeq lists it as uncharacterized. The record is from RefSeq and is a predicted model, not a curated record. Lineage: Eukaryota; Metazoa; Chordata; Amphibia; Anura; Bombinatoridae. The transcript has 3 exons.